AGUAUGCCGAUGAAUAUUUUAUCGGGCUCUUUGCCUCCUGCAUUGUUAAUAUUGUGGCAAAGUCUUUUACAGAGCGCUCCUGACAAGUUAAUGUGUGCAUGUUUCUGCUUCCAGCUGUGAUGGAAUUUAACCCACCCAAAUACUACCAAAAAAACCCCAGAGAAGUGCCUACAGCAUGAAUGCGUGUAGUCCCAUGAACACUGAUCCCCCUUUCAGUAAAGCCAAAGAGAAGCUGGACUUUCGUUCAGUUGGCCAUGAUGACGACUCACGCUGAAGUCUUUCUUAGUGCUGUGAGAACGAAUCUCUGUUUUAAAUUAAGUGUGUAUUUACUGACCUCUGUUAAUCUCAAGUUACCCAACGUGGGGCUGCCUGUUUAAUCCAGUGAAAAAAGUUCAAACACAGCCACAGUCAUGACACCGUUAUCAGGAACCGAGCGGAUAUGAACUUAAUCCCUCCCACGCUCCAUUAAUCUUUUAUUAAAAAGUCUCCAUUUAGCUCUGGUUCUCUGAAGAUAACAGUGUCACGCUGCAGGUCUCACGUUAGCUUGUGUUACUGUCAAGUGACCACAGCAGCAUGAACAGUCUUUUCUGUUCAAAGCUGUCAAACCCCUUUUAAUUGAUGUUGGUUUGAUUUUGUAUAA
Molecule: long non-coding RNA, 640 nt
Organism: Oreochromis niloticus (Nile tilapia)
Lineage: Eukaryota; Metazoa; Chordata; Actinopteri; Cichliformes; Cichlidae
Exons: 3
Source: RefSeq, a predicted model, not a curated record